This 475-nucleotide ribosomal RNA is filed under the name uncultured organism. Its description in RNAcentral is "partial 16S ribosomal RNA". It matches the Rfam family "Bacterial small subunit ribosomal RNA", at positions 332 to 798 of the family's 1533-position model. The record is from RNAcentral.
UACACUCCUGCGGGAGGCAGCAGUGGGGAAUUUUGGACAAUGGGCGAAAGCCUGAUCCAGCAAUGCCGCGUGAGUGAAGAAGGCCUUCGGGUUGUAAAGCUCUUUUGUCAGGGAAGAAACGGUGAAAGCUAAUAUCUUUUGCUAAUGACGGUACCUGAAGAAUAAGCACCGGCUAACUACGUGCCAGCAGCCGCGGUAAUACGUAGGGUGCAAGCGUUAAUCGGAAUUACUGGGCGUAAAGCGUGCGCAGGCGGUUUUGUAAGUCUGAUGUGAAAUCCCCGGGCUCAACCUGGGAAUUGCAUUGGAGACUGCAAGGCUAGAAUCUGGCAGAGGGGGGUAGAAUUCCACGUGUAGCAGUGAAAUGCGUAGAUAUGUGGAGGAACACCGAUGGCGAAGGCAGCCCCCUGGGUCAAGAUUGACGCUCAUGCACGAAAGCGUGGGGAGCAAACAGGAUUAGAAACCCUGGUAGUCCCAU